Mytilus californianus (California mussel) is the source of this 680-nucleotide long non-coding RNA. RefSeq lists it as uncharacterized. The record is from RefSeq and is a predicted model, not a curated record. NCBI's taxonomy places the organism in Eukaryota, Metazoa, Mollusca, Bivalvia, Mytilida, Mytilidae. The transcript has 3 exons.
AUUACGCACGAUGUAUUACAAUCUGGUAAACAAUUUUUUCAAUAAGUUUUAAACAAAAAAUUAUCAGCUGGUAUAAAUAGAGCAUGCAAGCGGUCAAAAUAUUAAUUUAAUCACAUUGACAUUAAAUAUGAAACUCUUGCUUGUUGGGAUUGUGUGCGUUUGUCUUUAUGGCAUUGUACUGAGUUGUACUAAAUGUAAUUUACACAGUGAUGACUGUUCCUCACACUGUCAAAAUGGAGGGGCACCCCAUUGCCAUUAUUAUAAUAGCACCACUAACUGCUGUUUCUGUGAAGUUCCAAUUGAAUGUCAUCCAAGUAAUGCUACUGUUGCUUGUCCUGCAAAUUGUGUUUGUGAACCGGAAGGGGAACAUCACCACUGCAUGUGUCCAGAAUAAAGGUGACGAAUGACAAAACAGGUUACAUGCAGAUUCAGACCUACAGCAAUGUUUUUAUUAAGGAUCGCUCUCAUUAGUAAUAGACGACGAUUAGCAAUGUUUUUAUGUGUAGCUUCUUGGAUAAUCUUGUAAGACUUCUAAAAUCAUAGAUUUCAUAGUUAUUUUAAAACUUUACAGAAGCUGAAGGUACUUUCGUAAAUAUACUAGAUUGUGUAUUUAAUGUGUUUGGUAAUUUAAUUGUAUUUAUAUGUUGUUACAUAAAAGCAUGCAUUAAUAAAAAUUUAUU